AUUGAACGCUGGCGGCAGGCCUAACACAUGCAAGUCGAGCGAGCGGCGGACGGGUGAGUAAUGUCUGGGAAACUGCCUGAUGGAGGGGGAUAACUACUGGAAACGGUAGCUAAUACCGCAUACCAUCAGAUGUGCCCAGAUGGGAUUAGCUAGUUGGUGGGGUAAUGGCUCACCUAGGCGACGAUCCCUAGCUGGUCUGAGAGGAUGACAUGCCACACUGGAACGGAGACACGGAACAGACUCCUACAGGAGGCAGCAGGGGAGAAUAUUGCACAAUGGGAGCAAGCCUGAUGCAGCCAUGCCGCGUGUGUGAAGAGGGCCUUCGGGUUGUAAAGCACUUUCAGCGAGGAGGCGUUACUCGCAGAGGAUGCACCGGCUAACACCGUGCCAGCAGCCGCGGUAAUAC
RNAcentral lists this ribosomal RNA (406 nucleotides) under uncultured bacterium. Its description in RNAcentral is "partial 16S ribosomal RNA". It matches the Rfam family "Bacterial small subunit ribosomal RNA", at positions 30 to 526 of the family's 1533-position model. The record is from RNAcentral.